Molecule: ribosomal RNA, 253 nt
Filed under: uncultured bacterium
Lineage: Bacteria
Description: partial 16S ribosomal RNA
Rfam family: Bacterial small subunit ribosomal RNA
Source: RNAcentral
UACGGAGGGUGCAAGCGUUAUCCGGAUUUAUUGGGUUUAAAGGGUGCGUAGGCGGUUAUAUAAGUCAGCGGUGAAAUUUUUCGGCUCAACCGGAAACAUGCCGUUGAUACUGUAUAGCUUGAAUAUGGUUGCUGUGAGUGGAAUGUGUAGUGUAGCGGUGAAAUGCUUAGAUAUUACACAGAAUCUCGAUUGCGAAGGCAACUCACAAAGCCAAUAUUGACGCUGAGGCACGAAAGUGUGGGGAUCAAACAGG